This 275-nucleotide ribosomal RNA is filed under the name uncultured prokaryote. Its description in RNAcentral is "partial 16S ribosomal RNA". It matches the Rfam family "Bacterial small subunit ribosomal RNA", at positions 524 to 798 of the family's 1533-position model. The record is from RNAcentral.
UACGGAGGAUCCGAGCGUUAUCCGGAUUUAUUGGGUUUAAAGGGUGCGCAGGCGGGAAAUUAAGUCGGCGGUGAAAUUUUGCAGCUCAACUGUAAAAGUGCCUUCGAAACUGGUUUCCUUGAGUGUAGAUGAAGUAGGCGGAAUUUGUGGUGUAGCGGUGAAAUGCAUAGAUAUCACGAGGAACUCCGAUUGCGCAGGCAGCUUACUAAACUACUACUGACGCUCAGGCACGAAGGCGUGGGGAUCAAACAGGAUUAGAUACCCCUGUAGUCCCU